This 41-nucleotide non-coding RNA is filed under the name Trypanosoma brucei brucei. The record is from RNAcentral. Lineage: Eukaryota; Euglenozoa; Kinetoplastea; Trypanosomatida; Trypanosomatidae.
AAUUAACAAAUGAGCCACUGAUAGAUGAGUAAUGUGUAUUA